AUGGACAUGUCGGCGAUCGCCGCCCGCCUCGGCCUCUCCGGCUCCCGCCCCGUCGUGCGCAAGGCCGCCGAGCUCCGACGCCUCUGGGACAUCAACUUCGACUCCUCCGUCCUCGGCAUCGGGGAGGUGUGCAAGGCCAUCAUCUACCUCGAGAUCGCCGCGACCAAGACGACAUUGGAUGUGCGCGAAUUGGGCAUUCAGUUUGGUUGUGUCAGGCUGAUACCUUUUGUGCAGAAGGGAUUCGUGCUGUACAAGGAGCGUUUCUUGGCUGCAUUGCCUCCUUCUCGGGACUUUGGUCGGCCAGUGUUUACCGCAGCAGUGUUCUAUUUAUGUGCAAAGAGGCAUAAGCUCAAAGUUGACAAACUGAAGCUAAUUGACCUGUGUGGUACAUCUAGCUCUGAAUCUACAACGGUUUCGACAUCUAUGGGAGACCUUUGUUUUGAUGUUUUUGGGAUAGCCAAGGAGAAGAAGGAUCCAACCUCCAUCAAAGGAAAUAGAGAUGCUGGAUUGCCUAGCAAAAGGAAACAUGAGGAUGACAGCGAUCAUUCCGAUGAAUCAUCGGGGGAUGACAAUGAUGACGAGCUAGAUCUACCAACUCACAAAAGGCACAAGAAGAUGGAGAAACAAGCGUACAAUCAGUGGAAGUCUUCAGUUAUCUCCACCAGCAAGCAAACCAAACCAGACCCUACGAAGCCCAGGAAGCAAGCUCAGCUGAACUUCAAGAAGAAACCGCCAGACGCCGCCACCAGCUAA
Molecule: ribosomal RNA, 753 nt
Filed under: Triticum aestivum (bread wheat)
Lineage: Eukaryota; Viridiplantae; Streptophyta; Magnoliopsida; Poales; Poaceae
Description: partial small subunit ribosomal RNA
Source: RNAcentral